UUAACUAAAGCCAAACCUAGAGGCAUUCCAUUGUUAAUGGACGAAUUGGAAUAACCUUCCUAAUUAAA
This 68-nucleotide transfer RNA is filed under the name Xenophyes cascus. RNAcentral's name for it is "tRNA-Asn". The record is from RNAcentral. Lineage: Eukaryota; Metazoa; Arthropoda; Insecta; Hemiptera; Peloridiidae.